AAUACUCGGUUGUGUGUCUCCGUUCGAGACUACUACUGUUACAAAAUCCAGAUGCAUCGUGGGAUAUUCAAUCCCAUAUUAUACGGCAAGCGUCUUUUCCAGUAAUUUGUGGUUGACAUGUACAUGAAGAUUGAGGGUGCAAGGCUUGACUGCAUCCGGGGUCACCAGAAGGAGAUACGUGUCGAUCUUUACAAGGGAGUUGUUGAUAGCAUAAAUGCUGGCGAAAGUCGUGCUGAUGCGGUAGGCAAAAGGACGGUACUCCCGGCAAAAUUCAUCGGGGGAAAGCAAGGCAUGAAGCGACGGUUCAUGGAUGCAAUGGCCCUGGUUCAGAAGUACGGGAAGCCCGACAUCUUCCUAACGAUGACGCGCGACCCCAACUGCGAAGAGAUAACAUGUGAGCUUGAACCUGGAUAG
This 414-nucleotide ribosomal RNA is filed under the name Triticum aestivum (bread wheat). RNAcentral describes it as "partial small subunit ribosomal RNA". Lineage: Eukaryota; Viridiplantae; Streptophyta; Magnoliopsida; Poales; Poaceae. The record is from RNAcentral.